The sequence is a transfer RNA, 55 nucleotides long. It matches the Rfam family "tRNA", at positions 18 to 71 of the family's 71-position model. Rfam says of the family: Transfer RNA (tRNA) molecules are approximately 80 nucleotides in length. Their secondary structure includes four short double-helical elements and three loops (D, anti-codon, and T loops). Further hydrogen bonds mediate the characteristic L-shaped molecular structure. tRNAs have two regions of fundamental functional importance: the anti-codon, which is responsible for specific mRNA codon recognition, and the 3' end, to which the tRNAs corresponding amino acid is attached (by aminoacyl-tRNA synthetases). tRNAs cope with the degeneracy of the genetic code in two manners: having more than one tRNA (with a specific anti-codon) for a particular amino acid; and 'wobble' base-pairing, i.e. permitting non-standard base-pairing at the 3rd anti-codon position. The record is from Rfam.
GUAGAGCACCUGGUUUGGGACCAGGGGGUCGCAGGUUCGAAUCCUGUCUUCCCGA